Molecule: ribosomal RNA, 542 nt
Filed under: uncultured bacterium
Lineage: Bacteria
Description: bacterial SSU rRNA
Rfam family: Bacterial small subunit ribosomal RNA
Source: RNAcentral
GUCCCCCACACUCGAUGUGAGACACGGACCAGACUCCUACGGGAGGCAGCAGUGAGGAAUAUUGGUCAAUGGGAGAGAUCCUGAACCAGCCAAGCCGCGUGAGGGAAGACGGCCCUAUGGGUUGUAAACCUCUUUUGUCGGAGAACAAAACCCGGGACGAGUCCCGGACUGCGUGUAUCCGAAGAAAAAGCAUCGGCUAACUCCGUGCCAGCAGCCGCGGUAAUACGGAGGAUGCGAGCGUUAUCCGGAUUUAUUGGGUUUAAAGGGCGCGUAGGCGGUCUGUUAAGUCAGCGGUAAAAUUGCGGGGCUCAACCCCGUCGAGCCGUUGAAACUGGCAGACUUGAGUUGGCGAGAAGUACGCGGAAUGCGCGGUGUAGCGGUGAAAUGCAUAGAUAUCGCGCAGAACUCCGAUUGCGAAGGCAGCGUACCGGCGCCAGACUGACGCUGAGGCACGAAAGCGUGGGGAUCGAACAGGAUUAGAUACCCUGGUAGUCCACGCAGUAAACGAUGAAUGCUGGUUGUCCGGGUCGAAUGAGACCUGG